Molecule: ribosomal RNA, 458 nt
Filed under: uncultured bacterium
Lineage: Bacteria
Description: bacterial SSU rRNA
Rfam family: Bacterial small subunit ribosomal RNA
Source: RNAcentral
ACUCCUACGGGAGGCAGCAGUAGGGAAUCUUCCACAAUGGGCGAAAGCCUGAUGGAGCAACGCCGCGUGGGUGAAGAAGGUCUUCGGAUCGUAAAACCCUGUUGUUAGAGAAGAAAGUGCGUGAGAGUAACUGUUCACGUUUCGACGGUAUCUAACCAGAAAGCCACGGCUAACUACGUGCCAGCAGCCGCGGUAAUACGUAGGUGGCAAGCGUUAUCCGGAUUUAUUGGGGCGUAAAGGGAACGCAGGCGGUCUUUUAAGUCUGAUGUGAAAGCCUUCGGCUUAACCGGAGUAGUGCAUUGGAAACUGGGAGACUUGAGUGCAGAAGAGAAGAGUGGAACUCCAUGUGUAGCGGUGAAAUGCGUAGAUAUAUGGAAGAACACCAGUGGCGAAAGCGGCUCUCUGGUCUGUAACUGACGCUGAGGUUCGAAAGCGUGGGUAGCAAACAGGAUUAGAUA